This 459-nucleotide ribosomal RNA is filed under the name uncultured bacterium. RNAcentral describes it as "bacterial SSU rRNA". It matches the Rfam family "Bacterial small subunit ribosomal RNA", at positions 340 to 786 of the family's 1533-position model. The record is from RNAcentral.
UACGGGAGGCAGCAGUGGGGAAUAUUGCACAAUGGGCGAAAGCCUGAUGCAGCUAUGCCGCGUGUAUGAAGAAGGCCUUAGGGUUGUAAAGUACUUUCAUCGGGGAGGAAAAACAAAAACUAAUAAUUUUAUUUUCUUGACGUUACCCGAAAAAGAAAGCACCGGCUAACUCCAUGCCAGCAGCCGCGGUAAUACGGAGGGUGCUAGCGUUAAUCAGAAUUACUGGGCGUAAAGAGCACGUAGGUGGUUUUUUUAAGUUCAGAUGUGAAAUCCCUGGGCUUAACCUAGGAACUGCAUUUUGAAACUGAAAUACUAGAGUAUCGUAGAGGGAGGUAGAAUUCUAGGUGUAGCGGUGAAAUGCGUAGAUAUCUGGAGGAAUACCUGUGGCGAAAGCGGCCUCCUAAACGAAUACUGACACUGAGGUGCGAAAGCGUGGGGAGCAAACAGGGAUUAGAUACC